GAUGAAUGCCUGAUUCUGGCAAGUGAUGGUCUAUGGGAUGUCAUGUCAAACGAAGAAGCAUGUGACCUGGCUCGGAGACGAAUACUUGUCUGGCAUAAAAAGAAUGGUGCUGCACUAACCUACUCAAAGGGGUGAGGGAAUUGAUCCUGCAGCUCAGGCAGCAGCCGAAUACCUCUCACACCGUGCUCUUCAAAAAGGAAGCAAAGACAACAU
Molecule: unclassified non-coding RNA, 213 nt
Filed under: Hevea brasiliensis (rubber tree)
Lineage: Eukaryota; Viridiplantae; Streptophyta; Magnoliopsida; Malpighiales; Euphorbiaceae
Source: RNAcentral